CCUACGGGAGGCAGCAGUGGGGAAUAUUGCACAAUGGGGGAAACCCUGAUGCAGCGACGCCGCGUGAGUGAAGAAGUAAUUCGUUAUGUAAAGCUCUAUUAGUAGGGAAGAAAAUGACGGUACAUGAGUAAGAAGACCCGGCUAACUACGCGCCAGCAGCCGCGGUAAUAUGCAGGGGGCAAGCGUUAUCCGGAUUUACUGGGUGUAAAGGGAGCGUAGACGGCCGUGCAAGUGUGGAGUGAAAGGCGGGGGCUCAACCCCCGGACUGCUCUGGAAACUGUACGGCUUGAGUGCAGGAGAGGUAAGUGGAAUUCCUGGUGUAGCGGUGAAAUGCGUAGAUAUUAGGAAGAACACCAGUGGCGAAGGCGGCUUACUGGACUGUAACUGACGUUGAGGCUCGAAAGCGUGGGGAGCAAACAGGAUUAGAUACCCGUGUAGUC
This 440-nucleotide ribosomal RNA is filed under the name uncultured bacterium. Its description in RNAcentral is "partial 16S ribosomal RNA". It matches the Rfam family "Bacterial small subunit ribosomal RNA", at positions 338 to 795 of the family's 1533-position model. The record is from RNAcentral.